This 449-nucleotide long non-coding RNA is filed under the name Lathyrus oleraceus (garden pea). RNAcentral's name for it is "Pisum sativum (pea) long non-coding RNA (PSAT_LNC025095)". The record is from RNAcentral. Lineage: Eukaryota; Viridiplantae; Streptophyta; Magnoliopsida; Fabales; Fabaceae.
UGGUUUUGGAAUCUAAAGUUGGGGAGAGUAAAGUGAAAAGUUGAUUAGAAACUUGGAAAAGUGAGUUUUUAUGAAAGGGUAAAAAUAUGAAAAGAAACAAGAAAAAGAAAUCACCCUUGAAACCAUAGAGCAAAGAAAAAAAAAUAGAAAAAAAAAAGUAAAGAAAAUGCUCAUGGUUGUGUGGAUUUGAAAAGAAAAAGAAAAAGAAAAAGAUAGGGAUCAAAGAAAGGGAAAUUGUGUAGAGUUAAAUGUUUGAGAAUGCUCCCUUAGGAUAGGCAACUUUGUUGAAUUCUCUUAAUCAUAUCCUUUCUUGUAACCUAAGCCACAUUACAACCUUUGAAAGACCUCUUGAUUCUCAUUUUUCACAUGAUUUGGUACUUGUUGUGAUAACCGCAUGAUUUGAGUUGUUGUUGAUUUAAUUGCUUGGAUGAGUGAAAGUAACCCUUCAU